Molecule: transfer RNA, 65 nt
Filed under: Escherichia coli
Lineage: Bacteria; Pseudomonadati; Pseudomonadota; Gammaproteobacteria; Enterobacterales; Enterobacteriaceae
Also listed under: 7 other names
Description: tRNA-Arg
Rfam family: tRNA
About the family: Transfer RNA (tRNA) molecules are approximately 80 nucleotides in length. Their secondary structure includes four short double-helical elements and three loops (D, anti-codon, and T loops). Further hydrogen bonds mediate the characteristic L-shaped molecular structure. tRNAs have two regions of fundamental functional importance: the anti-codon, which is responsible for specific mRNA codon recognition, and the 3' end, to which the tRNAs corresponding amino acid is attached (by aminoacyl-tRNA synthetases). tRNAs cope with the degeneracy of the genetic code in two manners: having more than one tRNA (with a specific anti-codon) for a particular amino acid; and 'wobble' base-pairing, i.e. permitting non-standard base-pairing at the 3rd anti-codon position.
Source: RNAcentral
CAGCUGGAUAGAGUACUCGGCUACGAACCGAGCGGUCGGAGGUUCGAAUCCUCCCGGAUGCACCA